RNAcentral lists this long non-coding RNA (1453 nucleotides) under Helianthus annuus (common sunflower). Lineage: Eukaryota; Viridiplantae; Streptophyta; Magnoliopsida; Asterales; Asteraceae. The record is from RNAcentral.
UUUUUUUAGGAUUUGUUUAUAAUAGAAGCAAGCAACAGACCAGAUCUUGUAGAUGCAGCACUUCUAAGGCUUGGUCGGUUUGAUAAGCUACUUUAACUGAAUCAACGCUUGGUUCCAUGCUGCAAAGCGCAAGCCGCCGAUGCAGAUCCAACUAACAUGAAGGAUGACGUUGAUUAUGUGGUUGUUGAAUAUGAAGAUUUUGUGCAGAAAUUAAGGUUCCAACUGCCAUAUUAGAAGGCGAGCUUUACCAGUUAUACCCACAAGAAGAAGUCAAACAUGGGAAUAUAUUAUUAGAAAAUCAAGAAGUAAGUUCCAUGAUUUAUAGGACUAGAUAGGAAGGGUUAUAUUUUUCUCUGUUUAGGGUUAGGGGUUUAAAGUUCAAUGAAUAAAAUAGUUUUUGACAAAAGCUAGAUUGAGAGCUUUGUGAAGAUAUUCAAAGGUGUUGGUCAUGGAUGGGCUUAUAGAUAUAGCGAGGAUAAUGAAUCUGUUGAGAGGAGUGCUGAGGUGGCCAAGCAUGUGAUUUUUUAAGCGGGUCGAGUGGUUAUUUUUCUAAUCUCACUUAUGAAGGUGUAACAUGAUAUACUUGAAGCCAAGAACCUUACACUAGCAUUCAUCAUUGUAAAGCAUUGUGCUUUGGAGUAGAAUGUCGAGUUAGCUUCUGAAGUUGGAGACUUUACUUGAUGAUAGCGUGGGGCAAAAUGUCGAGUUGGAAUUUGAAAGGAGUGGCACGUCUUUGACCGUUCAGUUGGUGGCUGAAGACUUACACUCAAUAACUCUUUCGGAGUUAGGAUUGACACGUCUUUGUGAUGUACAUUUUAGAGCGGAGCCGCCAGUGAAGGCUGCUGACCAUACGGGACAGAACUAUAUCAGCCUUAGGAGGACAUGCUAAAGAAUGCAAAUAAUCAAGGAACAACCAUCCUCCAUACUCUGAAGGUAGAUUAUACUUUGGGAGAUUUCGAGGUAGUUUUAUGGAGCUACACAUAUUGGUGGUUGUUUAGGAGAGUUAACGGGCUCUCAUAUUCAUCGCUUUUCAUGGAGAAGGUAUCUAUCCGGCAACCCUUAGACGUGAAGCCCGACUUUGGAAAGGUAUUGCUGGGUUUGGUGGUAAGUGCAGGUUAUUGGACUUGGGUUUGACUUGGAUGAUGGCUAGAAGCUUGAAGUUUGUUGCUGAUGCGUAUGAAAGCCAACAGAGUUUUGAAGAUUGAUGUUUUUUGUUUGAACUGUAUUUUGUCUUGAUUUUGGUUGUUUUCGUUUGUUUUUUGUUUGGAUUUUGAAUAGGUUUUAUGUUUGUAAUACUUGGGUUGUGUGUGGUCGUGAGUAGAGUUAGAAGUAAUAAUUGUUAUUGGUUAGAGCGGUUGGGGUAGGGGUUUGUUAAAACCCGUUCUGUAAGGCCUUAGGCGUUUUUGAGGUUGGUGUUCUUGGGGUAUGUCUCGAAAGACCCAAUGCUCUUUAG